RNAcentral lists this microRNA precursor (134 nucleotides) under Medicago truncatula (barrel medic). Its description in RNAcentral is "MIR2599 microRNA precursor family". It matches the Rfam family "MIR2599 microRNA precursor family". The record is from Rfam by way of RNAcentral. Lineage: Eukaryota; Viridiplantae; Streptophyta; Magnoliopsida; Fabales; Fabaceae.
GUGGGUACAAGGAAUCUACUUUAUUCAACACACUAACCUAAUUUCUGAGACAUAUUACAUACCUGAAACAUGUCUUAGAAAUUAGGGUUUUUUUUUUGUGUUGUGUGCUGAACAAAGUAGAUUCCUUGUACCCA